RNAcentral lists this ribosomal RNA (406 nucleotides) under uncultured bacterium. Its description in RNAcentral is "partial 16S ribosomal RNA". It matches the Rfam family "Bacterial small subunit ribosomal RNA", at positions 30 to 526 of the family's 1533-position model. The record is from RNAcentral.
AUUGAACGCUGGCGGCAGGCUUAACACAUGCAAGUCGAACGAGCGGCGGACGGGUGAGUAAUGUCUGGGAAACUGCCUGAUGGAGGGGGAUAACUACUGGAAACGGUAGCUAAUACCGCAUACCAUCAGAUGUGCCCAGAUGGGAUUAGCUAGUAGGUGGGGUAAUGGCUCACCUAGGCGUCGAUCCCUAGCUGGUCUGAGAGGAUGACCAGCCAACAUGGAACUGAGACACGGCCCAAACGCCUACGGGAGGCAGCAGUGGGGAAUAUUGCACAAUGGGCGCAAGCCUGCUGCAGCCAUGCCGCGUGUAUGAAGAAGGCCUUAGGGUUGUAAAGUACUUUCAGCGGGGAGGCGUUACCCGCAGAAGAAGCACCGGCUAACUCCGUGCCAGCAGCCGCGGUAAUAC